Long non-coding RNA from Oncorhynchus keta (chum salmon), 1409 nucleotides. RefSeq lists it as uncharacterized. The record is from RefSeq and is a predicted model, not a curated record. The transcript is spliced from 2 exons. NCBI's taxonomy places the organism in Eukaryota, Metazoa, Chordata, Actinopteri, Salmoniformes, Salmonidae.
UUUGCCUUUAGGGUUGAAUAUCCUCUGUGAGGCUGGUUGACUGGGUGGUACUGCUUCCCUGUGCAGUUUUCUGUGAGAAUGAGAUGGCACAACAUGUAUCAGAUAGAUGGUGUGAUGAUCAGUUUUCACCAUUAGUUUGGGUGGAGACUUUUUGUUUAUUAAAUUGUAUUUUAAAACUAGAUUUGUUUUUUUAAUCAUUAAUGAUUAAUAUGUUUGGAUAACAAUUGAAACCUGCUUAAUUUAUCUGCCAAUAAAAAAAUCAGUUUGUACAUUAAAUUAUACUGGUCAAACUCUUCUCUUCUGCACAAUGAAUUACCAAAAAACUAUGUUUCAAGUGACAUUUACUGUUUUUCUGAAGCUGAACAAGACAGGAAGUUGAAAGGAGCAUCACAAAGCUAAAUCGGACCUAUUGUCUAACAUGUUUUGUCAAUCAUAAGCAGCUGUGAGACCUGCUAGAGUACUGUAACUUUAUUGACCUACUGAAUCAUUGUAGUUUUGGGGGUAAAUAUAAUGCUUUAGUUUAAUUCAUGGAAUUCAAAUUAACAACAGGACAAUGCUGUGUAAGUGCUAUUUGACCAAGAAGGACAGUGAUGGAGUGCUGCAUCAGAUGACCUGGCCUCCACAAUCACCGAAAAUAAAGAUCAUCUACAAAAGUAGUAAGUCCAUCAAUCCAAUAGAUGUCGCUAUUUGGAACACUGUGGUAGUGGGGGGAACAGGAAGUUCCGGUAGGCGCACACCAUUCUUUACAAUAAAGAAAACGCCUGAACUGUGCUGUCCAUUUCUCUUUAUUAAUACAGGCCGGUGGUGCUGGUCCACUCCAGGAGUCUGAGGUGCGGGAGGUUCCUCCGCCCCCUUUGGACAUCGAGGGGGACCCGGCGUAUGCAGUUCGAGCCAUACUGGACCCGAGGCGUCUAGCGAGGGGCCUUCAGUACCUCGUGGAGUGGGAGGGGUACGGUCCGGAGGAGAGAUCCUGGGUGCCGGUGGAGGACGUAUUGGACCUGUCGAUGCUGCAGGAGUUCCACAGUCUCCAUCCGGGUCGUCCCCGAGGCCGGUGUCAGCGCGUGGCUCAAGGGGGGGGGGGUACUGUCAUGACUUCCACCGAAGUCAGUCCUUGUUCAGGCGGCGCUCGGCGGUCAACGUCACCGGUAUUCUAGCCAUUGCCGAUCCACUUUUCAUUUUCCAUUUGUUUUGUCUUUGUUUUUUUCACACCUGGUUUCGAUUCCCCCAUUACAGAUUCAGUAUUUAACCCUCUGUUUCACACAUACAUACGUAUCUGAUGGCUGGUAUUUUGUUGCCGGGCUUUGUAUGAACGCCAGUUUAUUCGUGGUACCGGUAUAUUUCACGGACCGUUGUAUUGUUUCUAUAACCAUGUUUUUUUGUGUAUUAAAUACCUUGUCCACGCAUCUCAA